UACGUAGGGGGCAAGCGUUGUCCGGAUUUAUUGGGCGUAAAGAGCGUGUAGGCGGCUAUGCAGGUCCGUUGUGAAACUCGAGGCUCAACCUCGAGACGCCGAUGGAAACCGCAUGGCUAGAGUCCGGAAGAGGCGAGUGGAAUUCCUGGUGUAGCGGUGAAAUGACGCAGAUAUCAGGAGGAACACCAGUGGCGAAGGCG
RNAcentral lists this ribosomal RNA (200 nucleotides) under uncultured bacterium. Its description in RNAcentral is "partial 16S ribosomal RNA". It matches the Rfam family "Bacterial small subunit ribosomal RNA", at positions 524 to 723 of the family's 1533-position model. The record is from RNAcentral.